CAGGGGAUCCUCUAGAGAUUGCAGAGUUCUCGGAGUCACGAAGAGUUUGAUCCUGGCUCAGGACGAACGCUGGCGGCGUGCCUAAUACAUGCAAGUCGAACGAAGCUUUCUUUCACCGAAUGCUUGCAUUCACCGAAAGAAGCUUAGUGGCGAACGGGUGAGUAACACGUAGGCAACCUGCCCAAAAGAGGGGGAUAACACUUGGAAACAGGUGCUAAUACCGCAUAACCAUGAACACCGCAUGAUGUUCAUGUAAAAGACGGCUUUUGCUGUCACUUUUGGAUGGGCCUGCGGCGUAUUAACUUGUUGGUGGGGUAACGGCCUACCAAGGUGAUGAUACGUAGCCGAACUGAGAGGUUGAUCGGCCACAUUGGGACUGAGACACGGCCCAAACUCCUACGGGAGGCAGCAGUAGGGAAUCUUCCACAAUGGACGAAAGUCUGAUGGAGCAACGCCGCGUGAAUGAAGAAGGCCUUCGGGUCGUAAAAUUCUGUUGUCAGAGAAGAACGUGCGUGAGAGUAACUGUUCACGUAUUGACGGUAUCUGGCCAGAAAGCCACGGCUAACUACGUGCCAGCAGCCGCGGUAAUACGUAGGUGGCGAGCGUUGUCCGGAUUUAUUGGGCGUAAAGGGAACGCAGGCGGUCUUUUAAGUCUGAUGUGAAAGCCUUCGGCUUAACCGAAGUAGUGCAUUGGAAACUGGAAGACUUGAGUGCAGAAGAGGAGAGUGGAACUCCAUGUGUAGCGGUGAAAUGCGUAGAUAUAUGGAAGAACACCAGUGGCGAAAGCGGCUCUCUGGUCUGUAACUGACGCUGAGGUUCGAAAGCGUGGGUAGCAAACAGGAUUAGAUACCCUGGUAGUCCACGCCGUAAACGAUGAGUGCUAAGUGUUGGAGGGUUUCCGCCCUUCAGUGCUGCAGCUAACGCAUUAAGCACUCCGCCUGGGGAGUACGGUCGCAAGACUGAAACUCAAAGGAAUUGACGGGGGCCCGCACAAGCGGUGGAGCAUGUGGUUUAAUUCGAAGCAACGCGAAGAACCUUACCAGGUCUUGACAUCUUCUGACAAUUCCAGAGAUGGAACGUUCCCUUCGGGGGCAGAAUGACAGGUGGUGCAUGGUUGUCGUCAGCUCGUGUCGUGAGAUGUUGGGUUAAGUCCCGCAACGAGCGCAACCCUUAUUGUCAGUUGCCAUCAUUAAGUUGGGCACUCUGGCGAGACUGCCGGUGACAAACCGGAGGAAGGUGGGGAUGACGUCAAAUCAUCAUGCCCCUUAUGACCUGGGCUACACACGUGCUACAAUGGACGGUACAACGAGUCGCUAACUCGCGAGGGCAAGCUAAUCUCUUAAAGCCGUUCUCAGUUCGGAUUGCAGGCUGCAACUCGCCUGCAUGAAGUCGGAAUCGCUAGUAAUCGCGAAUCAGCAUGUCGCGGUGAAUACGUUCCCGGGCCUUGUACACACCGCCCGUCACACCAUGAGAGUUUGUAACACCCAAAGUCGGUGGGGUAACCUUUUGGAGCCAGCCGCCUAAGGUGGGACAGAUGAUUGGGGUGAAGUCGUAACAAGGUAGCCGUAGUCCUGUGUGAAGUGAUCCGCUAAUCGUCGACC
RNAcentral lists this ribosomal RNA (1601 nucleotides) under Ligilactobacillus ruminis. RNAcentral's name for it is "Lactobacillus ruminis partial 16S ribosomal RNA". It matches the Rfam family "Bacterial small subunit ribosomal RNA". Lineage: Bacteria; Bacillati; Bacillota; Bacilli; Lactobacillales; Lactobacillaceae. The record is from RNAcentral.